UGUCGUCAGCUCGUGUUGUGAAAUGUUGGGUUAAGUCCCGCAACGAGCGCAACCCUUAUCCUUUGUUGCCAGCGGUCCGGCCGGGAACUCAAAGGAGACUGCCAGUGAUAAACUGGAGGAAGGUGGGGAUGACGUCAAGUCAUCAUGGCCCUUACGACCAGGGCUACACACGUGCUACAAUGGCGCAUACAAAGAGAAGCGACCUCGCGAGAGCAAGCGGACCUCAUAAAGUGCGUCGUAGUCCGGAUUGGAGUCUGCAACUCGACUCCAUGAAGUCGGA
This 280-nucleotide ribosomal RNA is filed under the name Escherichia coli. Its description in RNAcentral is "partial 16S ribosomal RNA". It matches the Rfam family "Bacterial small subunit ribosomal RNA", at positions 1050 to 1330 of the family's 1533-position model. Lineage: Bacteria; Pseudomonadati; Pseudomonadota; Gammaproteobacteria; Enterobacterales; Enterobacteriaceae. The record is from RNAcentral.